This 2490-nucleotide long non-coding RNA is filed under the name Mus musculus (house mouse). RNAcentral describes it as "long non-coding RNA chr6:3583813-3586303". Lineage: Eukaryota; Metazoa; Chordata; Mammalia; Rodentia; Muridae. The record is from RNAcentral.
AUUUGUGUUCUCUUAGUGUCUGUAUAACAUCUGUCCAGGCUCUUCUGGCUUUCAUAGUCUCUGGUGAAAAGUCUGGUGUAAUUCUGAUAGGCCUUCCUUUAUAUGUUACUUGACCUUUCUCCCUUACUGCUUUUAAUAUUCUAUCUUUAUUUAGUGCAUUUGUUGUUCUGAUUAUUAUGUAUCGGGAGGAAUUUCUUUUCUGGUCCAGUCUAUUUGGAGUUCUGUAGGCUUCUUGUAUGAUCAUGGGCAUCUCUUUCUUUAUGUUUGGGAAGUUUUCUUCAAUUAUUUUGUUGAAGAUAUUAGCUGGCCCUUUAAGUUGAAAAUCUUCAUUCUCAUCAAUUCCUAUUAUCCGUAGGUUUGGUCUUCUCAUUGUGUCCUGGAUUUCCUGGAUGUUUUGAGUUAGGAUCCUUUUGCAUUUUGUAUUUUCUUUGACUGUUGUGUCGAUGUUCUCUAUGGAAUCUUCUGCACCUGAGAUUCUCUCUUCCAUGUCUUGUAUUCUGUUGCUGAUGCUCGCAUCUAUGGUUCCAGAUCUCUUUCCUAGGGUUUCUAUCUCCAGCGUUGCCUCGCUUUGGGUUUUCUUUACUGUGUCUACUUCCCUUUUUAGUUCUAGUAUGGUUUUGUUCAUUUCCAUUACCUGUUUGGAUGUGUUUUCCUGUGUUUCUUUAAGGACUUCUACCUGUUUGGCUGUUUUCCUGCUUUUCUUUAAGGGCCUGUAACUCUUUAGCAGUGCUCUCCUGUAAUUCUUUAAGUGACUUAUGAAAGUCCUUCUUGAUGUCCUCUAUCAUCAUCAUGAAAAAUGUUUUUAAAUCUGGGUCUAGAUUUUCGGUUGUGUUGGGGUGCUCAGGACUAGGUGGGGUGGGAGUGCUGCGUUUUGAAGAUGGUGAGUGGUCUUGAUUUCUGUUAGUAGGAUUCUUAGGUUUGCCUUUCGCCAUCUGGUAAUCUCUGAAGCUAGCUGUUAUAGUUGUCUCUGUUAAGAGCUUGUACUUCAGGUGACCCUGUUAGCCUCUAUAAGCAGACCUGGGAGGGUAGCACUCUCCUUGGUUUCAGUGGGUAGAGUAUUCUCUGCAGGAAAGCUCUCUUCUUGCAGGGAAGGUACCCAGAUAUCUGGUGUUCGAACCGGACUCCUGGCAGAAGUUGUGUUCCACUCACUAGAGGUCUUAGGAUCCCGUGGGGAAUCCUGUGUGGGCCCUUGCGGGUGUCAGGCGACUCUGCUGGCAAGGAAGCCCGGGGCUCGAGUGGAGCGGAAGGGGCUUUUGCCCCGGGUCAGGCCCGGGUAGUCUGCUUCCCUAUGUGCCGCAGUCUCAGGUUCCGCACGAUUGGAUUAGGGCUGGCGCUGUGUUCCACUCACCAGAGGUCUUAGGAUCCCAUGGGGAAUCCUGUGUGGGCCCUUGCGGGUGUCAGGCAACUCCGCUGGCAAGGAAGCCCGGGGCUCGAGUGCUGUUGUUUAUAUAUUAACUUUAGCUUUGACAUGAUGAACAUACUUCAGAUUGUUCAGAUCUUUGGCAGAAAAAGUGAAAUUGUUUUCUCUAUCCUUUAUCUUUUUUGGCAAUGAAAAAUGUACUGGUUUCUUUAUAUAAGCCUAAGUGUAAUUAAAGCAUAAUAAUUGACAACUUUUAAAAUAUUGCCUCGCCACCUUAGCAGAUAAUGACAAAUAUUUAUUAAGUCAUUAAUUUUGUUAACUGAACCAUCUGCCUUCCUCAGAAUUGUUUACUAUACUUCCUCUUGUGUUUCAAGGUUUUACUAAGCUUAUCUCUUUCUGCUCCAACAUUAGUGACUCAUUUGGUGCUGGCAAGAUUUGCCCAGCCUGUCUGCAUUUGUACAAGGUCUCUGUGUGAGGGUAGACCUUCAUUCAUAGGAAUAACUUUUCAAUGUAAUAUUUUCCUUUUGCAAAUGUGUAGACUCUAAUACUUACAUAGUUUCUAGUAAUAUUUGUAUCUUUGUUCUGAUCACAAGUAUUUCAAGAACAUGACCUGUUAAUACACAGGUUUCAAAUUCUGGAAUGUUUUAUGGAAAGAACACCAAUACAGACAGAAACAAAGUAUAAACAGAUUGUUGCCCCAGAAUUUGUUACUUCCAAGUGUGUGCUUAGCAUCAGUAAGAAUUUAGAAACUGGUAGCUAAGGAAAUGGCUUAGCAGUUAAGAGCAUUUCCUCAGAGAAGUGUUCCGACUAAAAGGUAAUAAAUAUACCAGAUAAAAACUUGGUUCUUCAUACCUGGACCUGUAAGCGCAUCCCAAAAGUUUUUUAAAGACUUCAGUACUAUACAGGUAUAAUCUAGUGACACAACAAUCUAAUUGUAUUGAAAAUUAGUAACAAUAAGAUAGCUAGGAAAAUUCCAGGUAUUUGGAAAUUAAAUGAUCUUCUUGGUUCAAAGAAGAAAUUACAAGAGAAUCAGAAAAGCUCGUGAGUGGUGGUGACAGCACACGUAUUACAUGUUGUGCUGCACCUUGGCUGGGCUUUGGGGGAAGUGUCUACCCUUCAGUGUCAACAGC